Molecule: microRNA precursor, 76 nt
Filed under: Myotis lucifugus (little brown bat)
Lineage: Eukaryota; Metazoa; Chordata; Mammalia; Chiroptera; Vespertilionidae
Description: miRNA (ENSMLUG00000026274.1)
Source: RNAcentral
GGCCAUUCCUCUCUGGGAAAUGGGACAGGCGGUGGCCUCAGCAGGAAGCUGGCCCGUCCUGCCAGGGCCCAGAGCC